GACGAACGCUGGCGGCGUGCUUAACACAUGCAAGUCGAACGGUGAAGCGCCUUCCUUUUUGGUGGGUGUGGAUGAGUGGCGAACGGGUGAGUAACACGUGAGUAACCUGCCCCCUUCUUCUGGAUAACCGCAUGAAAGUGUGGCUAAUACGGGAUAUUCUGGGUCUGUCGCAUGAUGGGUCUGGGAAAGAUAUUGUUUCGGUGGGGGAUGGGCUCGCGGCCUAUCAGCUUGUUGGUGGGGUGAUGGCCUACCAAGGCGGUGACGGGUAGCCGGCCUGAGAGGGUGGACGGUCACACUGGGAAGGAGAGACGGCCCAGACUCCUACGGGAGGCAGCAGUGGGGAAUAUUGCACAAUGGGCGGAAGCCUGAUGCAGCGACGCCGCGUGAGGGAUGGAGGCCUUCGGGUUGUGAACCUCUUUCGCCAGUGAAGCAGGCCUGCCUCGUUUGUGGGUGGGUUGACGGUAGCUGGAUAAGAAGCGCCGGCUAACUACGUG
This 494-nucleotide ribosomal RNA is filed under the name uncultured bacterium. Its description in RNAcentral is "partial 16S ribosomal RNA". It matches the Rfam family "Bacterial small subunit ribosomal RNA", at positions 28 to 507 of the family's 1533-position model. The record is from RNAcentral.